GGUUGAUCCUGCCAAUAGUCAUAUGCUUGUCUCAAAGAUUAAGCCAUGCAAGUCUAAGUAUGAAUUAUUACUAUGGUGAAACUGCGAAUAGCUCAUUACAACAGUUAUGAUUUCAACGACAAUAUUUAACAUAUGGAUAUCCAUGGUAAUUCUGGCGCCAAUACAUGCUAUGAACUACUUGUUAAAGAGUGCAGCAUAAGUACUAACCAGUAAUUUGGUGAACGUUAUGAUUGCUCUACCGACUUUGUCGGACUGUCGUUUAGGUUUCUGGCCUAUCAGCUACCGUCGGUACG
This 293-nucleotide ribosomal RNA is filed under the name uncultured eukaryote. Its description in RNAcentral is "partial 18S ribosomal RNA". It matches the Rfam family "Eukaryotic small subunit ribosomal RNA", at positions 6 to 332 of the family's 1831-position model. The record is from RNAcentral.